CCUACGGGAGGCAGCAGUGAGGAAUAUUGGUCAAUGGGCGGGAGGCUGAACCAGCCAAGUCGCGUGAGGGACGACGGUCCUAUGGAUUGUAAACUUCUUUUGUCGGGGAAUAAAGGUGUCCACGUGUGGGUGUUUGCGUGUACCCGAUGAAAAAGCAUCGGCUAACUCCGUGCCAGCAGCCGCGGUACUACGGAGGAUGCGAGCGUUAUCCGGAUUUAUUGGGUUUAAGGGGUGCGUAGGUGGACUGUAAAGUCAGCGGUAAAGAUGCGGGGCUCAACGGCGAACUGCCGUUGAAACUGGCAGUCUUGAGUGUGCGAGAGGUAGGCGGAAUGCGUGGUGUAGCGGUGAAAUGCAUAGAUAUCACGCAGAACUCCGAUUGCGAAGGCAGCAUACCGGCGCCCAACUGACGCUGAGGCACGAAAGCGUGGGUAUCAAACAGGAUUAGAUACCCUAGUAGUC
RNAcentral lists this ribosomal RNA (459 nucleotides) under uncultured bacterium. RNAcentral describes it as "partial 16S ribosomal RNA". It matches the Rfam family "Bacterial small subunit ribosomal RNA", at positions 338 to 795 of the family's 1533-position model. The record is from RNAcentral.